This 209-nucleotide unclassified non-coding RNA is filed under the name Hevea brasiliensis (rubber tree). Lineage: Eukaryota; Viridiplantae; Streptophyta; Magnoliopsida; Malpighiales; Euphorbiaceae. The record is from RNAcentral.
GGGCAAUUAAUUUUUUGUUCUUGAAUAACUAUGUUCAUAAUUUAUAGGUAUAGAAAUUAAUUCAAGUUAAAUAGUAAUUUUUAAGUAAUUUGUGCCACCCCUCACAUGGGUGAACACUUGUUCAAGCAAGCAUAUGUUGUAACUUUUAAUGGAGUUUAAGAACACCCUAUAAAACCACAUCUAUUAAUAUUGCACUAACAUAAGUUUUC